UGCUAUUUCAGUGUUCUUUUCUUGUCAGUUGCGUGGCAAUGUCUAAAAGCCUGGACUAGCUUCACUAUGUCCUUUGUGAACAAGCCUGCUAAAAAGGAACAACAGUUUACAACUGAAGUGAACCUAGUCAGUCUCUUGCUGAAUCAGUUGAUGAUCAUGAGUCUCAGUCUACUCUUGUGGUUGAUACAGCUACAGUUUUUACAGCUACAAUUGAUGUACAGUCAAUUGUUGCUCAUUCUCCAUCACCCUAUUCUUCUACUUCCUCUACUAAUACUACUACUAGUACUAUUACCACUACAGAAGUCAGUGUUGGAGCUACACCACCCACUACUUUAUUACAAUAACCUUCGCUACCAAAAAA
This is a long non-coding RNA of Amphimedon queenslandica, 361 nucleotides long. RefSeq lists it as uncharacterized. The record is from RefSeq and is a predicted model, not a curated record. Lineage: Eukaryota; Metazoa; Porifera; Demospongiae; Haplosclerida; Niphatidae. The transcript is spliced from 2 exons.